Molecule: ribosomal RNA, 301 nt
Filed under: uncultured bacterium
Lineage: Bacteria
Description: partial 16S ribosomal RNA
Rfam family: Bacterial small subunit ribosomal RNA
Source: RNAcentral
CAGCCGCCGCGGGAAAACGUAGGGGGCAAGCGUUAUCCGGAAUUACUGGGUGUAAAGGGAGCGUAGACGGUUAAACAAGUCUGAAGUGAAGUGCCGGGGCUCAACCCCGGAGCUGCUUUGGGAACUGUAGAACUGGAGUGUCGGAGGGGUAAGCGGAAUUCCCAGUGUAGCGGUGAAAUGCGUAGAUAUUGGGAGGAACACCGGCGGCGAAGGCGGCUUACUGGACGACAACUGACGUUGAGGCUCGAAGGCGUGGGUAGCAAACAGGAUUAGAUACCCCCGUAGUCCCUGUCUCUUAUAC